This 468-nucleotide ribosomal RNA is filed under the name uncultured bacterium. RNAcentral describes it as "partial 16S ribosomal RNA". It matches the Rfam family "Bacterial small subunit ribosomal RNA", at positions 28 to 507 of the family's 1533-position model. The record is from RNAcentral.
GACGAACGCUGGCGGCGUGCUUAACACAUGCAAGUCGAACGGAAAGGCCCUGCUUUUGUGGGGUGCUCGAGUGGCGAACGGGUGAGUAACACGUGAGUAACCUGCCCUUGACUUUGGGAUAACUUCAGGAAACUGGGGCUAAUACCGGAUAGGAGCUCCUGCUGCAUGGUGGGGGUUGGAAAGUUUCGGCGGUUGGGGAUGGACUCGCGGCUUAUCAGCUUGUUGGUGGGGUAGUGGCUUACCAAGGCUUUGACGGGUAGCCGGCCUGAGAGGGUGACCGGCCACAUUGGGACUGAGAUACGGCCCAGACUCCUAUGGGAGGCAGCAGUGGGGAAUAUUGCACAAUGGGCGGAAGCCUGAUGCAGAAACGCCGCGUGCGGGAUGACGGCCUUCGGGUUGUAAACCGCUUUCGCCUGUGACGAAGCGUGAGUGACGGUAAUGGGUAAAGAAGCACCGGCUAACUACGUG